RNAcentral lists this ribosomal RNA (486 nucleotides) under uncultured bacterium. RNAcentral describes it as "partial 16S ribosomal RNA". It matches the Rfam family "Bacterial small subunit ribosomal RNA", at positions 30 to 507 of the family's 1533-position model. The record is from RNAcentral.
AUUGAACGCUGGCGGCAUGCCUUACACAUGCAAGUCGAACGGCAGCACGGGUGCUUGCACCUGGUGGCGGGUGGCGAACGGGUGAGUAAUACAUCGGAACAUGUCCUGUAGUGGGGGAUAGCCCGGCGAAAGCCGGAUUAAUACCGCAUACGAUCUACGGAUGAAAGCGGGGGACCUUCGGGCCUCGCGCUAUAGGGUUGGCCGAUAGCUGAUUAGCUAGUUGGUGGGGUAAAGGCCUACCAAGGCGACGAUCAGUAGCUGGUCUGAGAGGACGACCAGCCACACUGGGACUGAGACACGGCCCAGACUCCUACGGGAGGCAGCAGUGGGGAAUUUUGGACAAUGGGCGAAAGCCUGAUCCAGCAAUGCCGCGUGUGUGAAGAAGGCCUUCGGGUUGUAAAGCACUUUUGUCCGGAAAGAAAUCCUUGGCUCUAAUACAGUCGGGGGAUGACGGUACCGGAAGAAUAAGCACCGGCUAACUACGUG